RNAcentral lists this long non-coding RNA (780 nucleotides) under Homo sapiens (human). RNAcentral's name for it is "HSALNT0409098". The record is from RNAcentral. Lineage: Eukaryota; Metazoa; Chordata; Mammalia; Primates; Hominidae.
UACCCUGGGUUCCGGGCAGGGGUGGAACUGGAUUCUGCCUGGAUGGGGAUCGGAUGGGGGUGGAGGUUUGAUUUGGGAAGCAGAGCACAGCAGCCCAAAUUUGUUGUAAUGGCGGCGGCUACAGGUUUCCUAGGUGUCCCCUGGGCUAGAGAAUGCUGCGUUUGCUACGCCGGGUCAGGACUUGGCAUAUGGCAUAAGACACACAGAGAGAGCCUUGCUGGUGUAGCUGAGAUUUACGACCCUCAUCCAACCAAACCAUUUCAGAUUCUUGGGGCUCAGAGCUCUCAUCGGAAAGACAUCUAUUCUGGGAGCAGGUAUAUCUCUUGCUGAGCAUGUGCUUCCACCCUGGAGGUGUCUUGGGUGAGCAUAGGUACCCUUGUGACUAUGAAGAUUGACAAAAAGUUGACGGCAACGAUGAAUUCUCUUCCAGAACUUACAUCCCAGAAGGCCCUCCCCUACUUCGGGUCUCCCUAGAGAGUGGAGAGACCUGCUGCCCUUGAAGAAGCAAACAGCCAUGUUGUGAGCUGCCUAAGCCUCUAGGUCUUGAGGGAAGCUUACAGUUAAGAGCCAGCAAAAGCCAGGGCCCUCAGUCAUGCCACACAAGGAAACGAAUCCUGCCAGCAACUAUGGGGGCUUGGAAGAGGAUAUUAAGCUUCAGUUGAGAAUGCAGCCUGACUGACACCAUCAUUGCAGCCUUGUGAGACCCCAAUCAGAGGACCCAGCUGAGCUGUACCCAGACUCCUAACCCACGGAAACUGAGAAAAUAAAUGUGUGCUAUUU